This 475-nucleotide ribosomal RNA is filed under the name uncultured bacterium. RNAcentral's name for it is "bacterial SSU rRNA". It matches the Rfam family "Bacterial small subunit ribosomal RNA", at positions 19 to 507 of the family's 1533-position model. The record is from RNAcentral.
GUGGCUCAGGACGAACGCUGGCGGCGUGCUUAACACAUGCAAGUCGAACGGUGAAGGGAAGCUUGCUUCCCGGAUCAGUGGCGAACGGGUGAGUAACACGUGGGCAAUCUGCCCCAGACUUUGGGAUAACUACUCGAAAGAGUAGCUAAUACCGAAUAUUCAGCCUUGCAGGCAUCUGCGAGGCUGGAAAGUUUCUCGGUCUGGGAUGAGCCCGCGGCCUAUCAGCUAGUUGGUGAGGUAAUGGCUCACCAAGGCGACGACGGGUAGCCGGCCUGAGAGGGCGACCGGCCACACUGGGACUGAGACACGGCCCAGACUCCUACGGGAGGCAGCAGUGGGGAAUAUUGCGCAAUGGGCGAAGGCCUGACGCAGCAACGCCGCGUGCGGGAUGAAGGCCUUCGGGUUGUAAACCGCUUUCAGCAGGGAAGAAGCGAAAGUGACGGUACCUGCAGAAGAAGCACCGGCUAACUACGUG